GUGCGCCUACGGGACGCAGCAGUGGGGAAUAUUGGGCAAUGGGCGCAAGCCUGACCCAGCAACGCCGCGUGAAGGAAGAAGGCUUUCGGGUUGUAAACUUCUUUUCUCAGGGACGAAGAAAGUGACGGUACCUGAGGAAUAAGCCACGGCUAACUACGUGCCAGCAGCCGCGGUAAUACGUAGGUGGCAAGCGUUAUCCGGAUUUACUGGGUGUAGAGGGCGUGUAGGCGGGAAAGCAAGUCAGAUGUGAAAACCAU
Molecule: ribosomal RNA, 257 nt
Filed under: uncultured bacterium
Lineage: Bacteria
Description: partial 16S ribosomal RNA
Rfam family: Bacterial small subunit ribosomal RNA
Source: RNAcentral